UGACAACAAUUAAUCCAUUAAAAUGGCUCCACAUAAGUAAGAAAAUGUAUGAUACAAGGUAUACUCCUAACACAAGAAUCGAUCAUGUAUGGAAAACCAUGAAUCAUUCUCCCCAAACACAAAAUGUCCUCAUAUCAGCCCAUAUGCUUUAUCCAGUAAUACACCCACCGUGAAAAGCAAUUAAAGUGGUUGACAAGAAAAUGACCAACAGUUUAGCUUUUUCUACAAAGUGGCCACUAGUGA
Hibiscus syriacus is the source of this 243-nucleotide long non-coding RNA. RefSeq lists it as uncharacterized. The transcript is spliced from 2 exons. The record is from RefSeq and is a predicted model, not a curated record. NCBI's taxonomy places the organism in Eukaryota, Viridiplantae, Streptophyta, Magnoliopsida, Malvales, Malvaceae.